AGCUAUGGCCAUGCUCCCCUGAAUAAGCAUGAUCCCAUCUGAUCUAAGCAGGGUCAGGCCUGGUUAGUACUUAGAUGGGAGACCACCUAGGAAGACCAGGUGCUGUAGGCG
Molecule: ribosomal RNA, 111 nt
Filed under: Pteropus alecto (black flying fox)
Lineage: Eukaryota; Metazoa; Chordata; Mammalia; Chiroptera; Pteropodidae
Source: RNAcentral